UACGUAGGUCUCAAGCGUUAUCCGGAUUUACUGGGCGUAAAGUAUCCGUAGCUUGAUAUAUAAGUCUGUUUUCAAAUCUUACGAUUCAAUCGUAAAAAGGGGAUGGAUACUGUAUAUCUGGAAGUAAUUAGGGGUUAGUGGAAUUUCCGGUGGAGCGGUAAAAUGUAUUGAUAUCGGAAAGAACGCCGAAAGCGAAAGCAGCUAACUAUAAUAUCUUGACAGUGAGGGAUGAAAGUUUGGGUAGCAAACG
Molecule: ribosomal RNA, 250 nt
Filed under: uncultured prokaryote
Description: partial 16S ribosomal RNA
Rfam family: Bacterial small subunit ribosomal RNA
Source: RNAcentral